UCAAGCUAUAAAGAGCGCAAGGGGAAUGCCUUGGCAUCAGGAGCCGAUGAAGGACGUGAUAAGCUGCGAUAAGCUUCGGGGAGCUGCAAAUGAGCUGUGAUCCGGAGAUUUCCGAAUGGGGAAACCCACCGCAAGGUAUCCCAUACUGAAUCAAAUAGGUAUGGGAGGGGAACCGCCUGAACUGAAACAUCUAAGUAGGGCGAGGAAAAGACAUCAACCGAGAUUCCGCGAGUAGUGGCGAGCGAAAGCGGAUCAGGCCAAACCGGAGGUAGCAAUAUCUCCGGGGUUACGGACAGCAACAUGAAGGAAGUUUUCUAAAAGAACGGCAUGGGAAGGCCGGCCAAAGAGUGUGAGAGCCACGUAUUUGAAAGAGAACUUUUGGAUAGCUGGAUCCAGAGUACCGCGGGACACGAGGAAUCCCGUGGGAAGUCGGGGGGACCACCCUCCAAGCCUAAAUACUACCUGAUGACCGAUAGAGGAGCAGUACCGUGAGGGAAAGGUGAAAAGAACCCCGGGAGGGGAGUGAAAGAGUACCUGAAACCUUGUGCUUACAAGCAGUCAAAGCCCGUUAAAGGGUGAUGGCGUACUUUUUGUAGAACGGUCCGGCGAGUUAUAGUAACUGGCGAGGUUAAGGUAUUGAGUACCGAAGCCGAAGGGAAACCGAGUGUGAAGAGCGCGAAUGAAGUCAGUUGCCAUAGACCCGAAACCAGGUGACCUAGCCAUGACCAGGCUGAAGUGGAGGUAAAGCUCCAUGGAGGGCCGAACCCACGUUCGUUGCAAUGACCGGGGAUGAGUUGUGGCUAGCGGUGAAAUUCCAAACGAACCUGGAGAUAGCUGGUUCUCCCCGAAAUAGUUUUAGGACUAGCGUUGGCAAUGAGUUUCGCGGUGGUAAAGCACUGAAUGGGCUAGGGGGCGAUAAGCUUACUGAACCCUAUCAAACUAAGAAUGCCGCAGAAAUGCUUACCAGCAGUCAGACUACGAGUAAUAAAAUCCGUGGUCAAAAGGGAAAUAGCCCAGACCCACAGCUAAGGUCCCGAAUACAUGCUAAGUGGAAAACGAUGUGAGAUUGCAGAAACAACCAGGAUGUUGGCUUAGAGGCAGCCACUCGUUCAAAGAGUGCGUAAUAGCUCACUGGUCGAGUGAUCUUGCGCGGAAAAUUUAACGGGGCUAAGCAUGUAACCGAAGCUUGGGAUUCACGAUUUUUCGUGAGUGGUAGGGGAGCGUCGAAUACGGGGUGAAGUCGCACCGGAAGGAGCGGUGGACUGUAUUCGAGUGAGAAUGCCGGAAUGAGUAGCGAGAAUUAUGUGGGAAUCAUAAUGGCCGAAAAUCUAAGGUUUCCUGGGGAAGGUUCGUCCGCCCAGGGUAAGCCGGGAGCUAAGGCGAGGCCGCAAGGCGUAGUCGAUGCACAUACGGUAGAAAUUCCGUAGCCGGUACAAUUGUUAAUCACGGUGACACAUGAGUAUAGCUCUACCGGGCGUUGGUAGCCCCGGGCGUAAGCGAGCCGAAUGAGGCGAAGUGAGUAAAGCUUGUGGCGAGAAAAGCCGUGAGGAUUGGUUGUACUGCCCGUACCGCAAACCGACACAGGUAGAUGAGGAGAAGAUCCUAAGGCCAACGGGAGAAGGGUUGUUAAGGAACUAGGCAAAUUGACCCCGUAACUUCGGAAUAAGGGGUGCCUACGAAAGUAGGUCGCAGAGAAUAGGCCCAAGCAACUGUUUACCAAAAACACAGGUCUCUGCUAAAUCGAAAGAUGACGUAUAGGGGCUGACGCCUGCCCGGUGCUGGAAGGUUAAGAGGAGAGCUUAGGGAAACCGAAGGUUCGAAUUGAAGCCCCAGUAAACGGCGGCCGUAACUAUAACGGUCCUAAGGUAGCGAAAUUCCUUGUCAGGUAAGUUCUGACCCGC
This 1901-nucleotide ribosomal RNA is filed under the name human gut metagenome. RNAcentral's name for it is "bacterial LSU rRNA". It matches the Rfam family "Bacterial large subunit ribosomal RNA", at positions 3 to 1991 of the family's 2925-position model. The record is from RNAcentral.